AAUUUGAAAUUUUAUUAGUGUAAAAAUAAUUGAAUUUAAAUAUUUAAAAUUAUAUAUUAAAUUUUAAUAAAUUUAUUUUAUAUUUAAUUAUUCCGGUUGAACUCCGGUUGAAUCCCGAUUGAACCUUUAAACCAUUAAACCAGUCACUUCACUGGUUUAGUGACCGGUUCGGUUUUCGCAACCUUGGUAUUUAAGCCUUUAGGCUUCCUUGAGGGAGCUAUGUGCCUUGUGCUUAGUUACAUGCUAUUGUUGCCAUUAUUGAUCCAAUUCUCUUUUACCUCUUCACUUACUUUCAUCACAAAAAAUUAGAAUAUGAGUUCAUUCUUUGAUGAACAGGCACCAUGUUAUAGAACUCAUUUUUGAGUUAUGGUAAUCAUUUGGAAUUUUUUUAUACUGCAUUUUUUAUUGUUAAAAUAUGAUAAAUUUUUCGUGUCAAGUGGGAGAAAAGAAAGCACAUUAAGAAUGAAAUUUCACAUGAAUUUCACUGGUUAUCCUUCCUCACAAUUUUGCAAACACUCUCCUGCAGCCACUUGCUCUUGAAUGUUUAGGGCUGUUGAUCACCAGUGGGAUGGUGAACUUUUUGCCACAGCUGGCGCCCAAGUAGAUAUAUGGAAUCACAACAGAUCUGAGCCUAUAAACAGUUUUCAGUUGUGCAAGAUUUCAGAGGACUCGUAUGAUUCAUCCCAUGCUAGAACAUUUUAACAGGAUGAUGAUGGUGACAAUGCUUUCCAUAUAGCAGCAGAGACAGCCAAAAUGAUAUGUGAAAAUCCUGACUGGCUCAUUGUUAUGCUAAGGAAUUUCGAUACUGAUAUUGAAGUCAGAAAGCACAGGUAUGUCUAGGCAUUGCAUUUUCAGGACUUGGAUCGUGGUUAGAAGCUUGAAUCGUGCUCUAUUGGGAUUUUGGUGUUUAGGUACACUCUAGCACUUGAUUUCUAUUGGGUUUUGCCCCAAUCAUCAUUGGGUAAGGUUCGGAUUCGGGUUUGUGUUGUUGCUGUUGUUUGCGUUCCAUUGCUGCUGCUAUUCGCGUUUAUAGUUGUAAUUGUACUUCUAUGUAAAGUUUUUAGAAACUGGACGAAAAAUUAGCUGUAAAGAAAUGUACAUAAAAACUCAUAAGAAAAAAGAUGGGUCAUUUGUGACUGACGAAGCAAGGGAUAUAGCGAAACAAAUUGAAGUACUUAUUGCUCAAAAUGAGAAAAAUGAAUCUGGACCAUCCACAAAUGAUGUUAUUGGCAAAGUGUUUGGAGAGGAGCAUUCUGGUAGGGUGCGAUGCAUAAGAUUAGGAGCAACACCUACUAAUACUUUCAGAAAUGUCAAUCAUCCUAGCCAGUUAGCUAAUUCUUCAACUUCAAUGUCAUCUACUGCCAAUUACUUUCAAGCUGAUUUUAAACAUUUGGAAUCUAAAUUUGAUGGGACAUUGACUGCAUUCAAGGCUUAUUUUCUUGCUAAAGAAGGAAGAAUUUCUGUUGAACUUACUAGUAUAUUUGACCAUGGAGCAAGGGAAAAUUGCCUUCUCUUGUCGAUUUUAUGUUGCACUAAUAAUUUUGAAAAUUAUGAUAAAUGAUAACUGUUAUAUUAUGCUAAUGUUCUAGCAUGGUAUUAGUCUCGUAUAUUCUAACCUUACAUCCCUACUAUUACUAAUUUGUUGUUUAAGUUUUUGACACAAGGAAAUGUUAAUUAUUUGAAUUGUCGUUAUAGUGUCAUAGAUGUGACAAUUUUUAUGUUGAUAUUUCUGUUUUUAAUUU
Arachis duranensis is the source of this 1742-nucleotide RNA transcript. RefSeq lists it as uncharacterized. The record is from RefSeq and is a predicted model, not a curated record. Lineage: Eukaryota; Viridiplantae; Streptophyta; Magnoliopsida; Fabales; Fabaceae. The transcript is spliced from 8 exons.